AUGGAGAACCACCAGCUGCCCUACACCACCCAGCCCCCGGCAACCGGUGCGUCCGGAGCCCCGCUGCCGGGCGUGCCUGGGCCGCCGCCGGUGCCACACCACCACCUGCUCCAGCAGCAGCAGGCCCAGCUGCAGGCGUUCUGGGCGUACCAGCGGCAGGAGGCGGAGCGCGCAUCGGCGUCCGACUUUAAGAACCACCAGCUGCCGCUGGCGCGUAUCAAGAAGAUCAUGAAGGCCGACGAGGACGUGCGCAUGAUCUCCGCGGAGGCGCCCGUGCUCUUCGCCAAGGCCUGCGAGCUCUUCAUCCUCGAGCUCACCAUCCGCUCCUGGCUGCACGCCGAGGAGAACAAGCGCCGCACACUGCAGCGCAACGACGUCGCCGCUGCCAUCGCGCGCACCGACGUCUUCGACUUCCUCGUCGACAUUGUGCCGCGCGAGGAGGCCAAGGAGGAGCCCGGCAGCGCAGCCCUCGGGUUUGCCGCCGGAGGGGUUGGUGCGGCCGGUGGGGGCCCCGCCGCUGGGCUGCCGUACUACUAUCCGCCGAUGGGGCAGCCGGCGGCACCGAUGAUGCCGGCCUGGCAUGUUCCGGCGUGGGAACCUGCGUGGCAGCAAGGCGGGGCGGGCGUGGACCAGGGUGCCGGGAGCUUCGGCGAGGAAGGGCAAGGGUUCACGGGGGGGCAUGGUGGCUCAGCUGGCUUCCCUCCCGGGCCUCCAAGCUCCGAGUGA
RNAcentral lists this ribosomal RNA (726 nucleotides) under Triticum aestivum (bread wheat). Its description in RNAcentral is "partial small subunit ribosomal RNA". The record is from RNAcentral. Lineage: Eukaryota; Viridiplantae; Streptophyta; Magnoliopsida; Poales; Poaceae.